GACGAACGCUGGCGGCGUGCUUAACACAUGCAAGUCGAACGGAAAGGCCCUUCGGGGUACUCGAGUGGCGAACGGGUGAGCAACACGUGGGUGAUCUGCCCUGCACUUUGGGAUAAGCCUGGGAAACUGGGUCUAAUACCGAAUAGGACCACGCGCUUCAUGGUGUGUGGUGGAAAGCUUUUGCGGUGUGGGAUGGGCCCGCGGCCUAUCAGCUUGUUGGUGGGGUAAUGGCCUACCAAGGCGACGACGGGUAGCCGGCCUGAGAGGGUGACCGGCCACACUGGGACUGAGAUACGGCCCAGACUCCUACGGGAGGCAGCAGUGGGGAAUAUUGCACAAUGGGCGCAAGCCUGAUGCAGCGACGCCGCGUGAGGGAUGACGGCCUUCGGGUUGUAAACCUCUUUCAAUAGGGACGAAGCGCAAGUGACGGUACCUAUAGAAGAAGCACCGGCCAACUACGUG
Molecule: ribosomal RNA, 462 nt
Filed under: uncultured bacterium
Lineage: Bacteria
Description: partial 16S ribosomal RNA
Rfam family: Bacterial small subunit ribosomal RNA
Source: RNAcentral